RNAcentral lists this ribosomal RNA (207 nucleotides) under uncultured bacterium. RNAcentral's name for it is "partial 16S ribosomal RNA". It matches the Rfam family "Bacterial small subunit ribosomal RNA", at positions 568 to 774 of the family's 1533-position model. The record is from RNAcentral.
CACGUAGGCGGAUCUUUAAGUCAGGGGUGAAAUCCCAAGGCUCAACCUUGGAACUGCCCUUGAUACUGGGGAUCUCGAGUCCGGAAGAGGUUGGUGGAACUGCGAGUGUAGAGGUGAAAUUCGUAGAUAUUCGCAAGAACACCAGUGGCGAAGGCGGCCAACUGGUCCGGCACUGACGCUGAGGUGCGAAAGCGUGGGGAGCAAACA